GAUGAAGAACGUAGCGAAAUGCGAUAAGUAAUGUGAAUUGCAGAAUUCCGUGAAUCAUCGAAUCUUUGAACGCAUAUUGCGCCCUCUGGUAUUCCGGGGGGCAUGCCUGUCCGAGCGUCAUUGCUGCCCUCAAGCACGGCUUGUGUGUUGGGCCCCCGUCCCCGGUUUCCCCCGGGGACGGGCCCGAAAGGCAGCGGCGGCACCGCGUCCGGUCCUCGAGCGUAUGGGGCUUUGUCACCCGCUCUGUAGGCCCGGCCGGCGCCAGCCGACACCCAACUUUAUUUCUAAGGUUGACCUCGGAUCAGGUAGGGAUACCCGCUGAACUUAAGCAUAUCAAUAAGCGGAGGA
RNAcentral lists this unclassified non-coding RNA (348 nucleotides) under soil metagenome. RNAcentral describes it as "partial contains 5.8S ribosomal RNA, internal transcribed spacer 2, and large subunit ribosomal RNA". The stretch from base 1 to 120 matches the Rfam family "5.8S ribosomal RNA", at positions 35 to 154 of the family's 154-position model. The record is from RNAcentral.